This 253-nucleotide ribosomal RNA is filed under the name uncultured bacterium. Its description in RNAcentral is "partial 16S ribosomal RNA". It matches the Rfam family "Bacterial small subunit ribosomal RNA", at positions 524 to 776 of the family's 1533-position model. The record is from RNAcentral.
GACAGAGGGUGCAAACGUUGUUCGGAAUUACUGGGCGUAAAGCGCGUGUAGGCGGCCCUGCAAGUCGGAUGUGAAAUCCCACGGCUCAACCGUGGAAGUGCAUUCGAAACUGCAGGGCUAGAGUCCUGGAGAGGAAGGUGGAAUGCUUGGUGUAGAGGUGAAAUUCGUAGAUAUCGAGAGGAACACCGGUGGCGAAGGCGGCCAACUGGACGAAUACUGACGCUGAGACUCGAAAGCGUGGGGAGCAAACAGG